GACGAACGCUGGCGGCGUGCUUAACACAUGCAAGUCGAACGAUGAAGCCGGAGCUUGCUCCGGUGGAUUAGUGGCGAACGGGUGAGUAACACGUGAGCAAUCUGCCCUUGACUCUGGGAUAACUGCGGGAAACUGUAGCUAAUACCGGAUACGACACCUUGGGGCAUCCAAGGGCGCGGAAAGAAUUUCGGUCAAGGAUGAGCUCGCGGCCUUUGAGCUAGUUGGUGAGGUAAUGGCUCACCAAGGCGACGAAGGGUAGCCGGCCUGAGAGGGUGACCGGCCACACUGGAACUGAGACACGGUCCAGACUCCUACGGGAGGCGGCAGUGGGGAAUAUUGCACAAUGGGCGAAAGCCUGAUGCAGCAACGCCGCGUGAGGGAUGAAGGCCUUCGGGUUGUAAACCUCUUUUAGCAGGGAAGAAGCGAAAGUGACGGUACCUGCAGAAAAAGCACCGGCUAACUACGUGCCAGCCGCCGCCGUAA
This 483-nucleotide ribosomal RNA is filed under the name uncultured bacterium. RNAcentral describes it as "partial 16S ribosomal RNA". It matches the Rfam family "Bacterial small subunit ribosomal RNA", at positions 28 to 523 of the family's 1533-position model. The record is from RNAcentral.